Oxyura jamaicensis (ruddy duck) is the source of this 2376-nucleotide long non-coding RNA. RefSeq lists it as uncharacterized. The transcript has 2 exons. NCBI's taxonomy places the organism in Eukaryota, Metazoa, Chordata, Aves, Anseriformes, Anatidae. The record is from RefSeq and is a predicted model, not a curated record.
CAAGCUGCUGUGAGGUACUAUGAAAGGCAUACGUCAGCUUUAACUAGUUGAGGGAUAGGCUGAAACCCUGCCUAUCCAUCUGCAAGUUUCUUCCCAAUUUUCCUGGCACAGAACAUCAGCAAGGGGAGGGCCACGUUUCUGGCUGGCUGAGCAGAGCGAAAACAACGGAGUUUGACCUGCGGUGUAGAGCUGCUGGCUCCAGUAAGCUCCCUCCCUGCUCUGUGAAUUAGUUUUGAACCCAGAAGAGGCUUGAUAAAGACACAGAAGUGGCAGAGAAAGUUGAAAUGUGAUUCAAAGGCAAAGGGAAAUAUGCAAAGAUCAACUCUUUUCUGUAUGAAGUGCACUAAAAGAUGUGGAUAAGUUGGCAAAUGAAAUGCAGUGAUGAGAAACACAAACCAGGGGCACGGGGAGUGAGAGAAACUGACCUACGUGUGCAGAAUGCUGGGAACUAAACCACUUGCUGCUUGGGAAAAGGACCUUUGAGUUGCUGUGGCUAACACACAGAAAAUGGUUGCACAAGGCUCAGAGAAAGUUGAAAAGUCUCCGAGAAAUAAAAGGAGAGUGAAACAGAAGACGUCAUUGUUUCACUGGGUAAAUUUAUCAUCCACCUACACUGCUGCCCUACUUCAGGCAGGGCUGGUCGAAUGAGAGAGAGGCUGGGGGAAGCAGCAGGAUGCUCAGAGGUAUGGAAUGUGAGGGGCAAUGAGAGUGGCUGCAGUUUUUUAGCCUGAAAAAGAGAUAAUUGUGAGGAGAUGUGGUAGCUAUAAAACAAAGCCAGAAGGGGGAAGAUAGAUAGGAAUCACUUACUCAUUGCGUCCUGUGUCAGACAAACUACAAUGAUCAGGCACCAGGUUUAAAUCAAUACACACAGAGCACAAUUAUGCUGUAGAAUUCAUUCCCACGGGAUGCCGUGGCAGCCAAAAAAGUAAAUUAAGUCAUAAGAAAACACUAAACAAUUUACAGGGAAUAGCUCAAUCAAGACCUAUUGCUGCAACUGUCCAGAUGCUAUCUCCUGAUCUGGAAAUCCCCUACCUAUGACGGCUGGAAGCUGGAAGGGUGUGCCAGAGAAGGCAUCGCUUCAUCCAUGCUACUUCUGUUCUGUCAGAAAUAGGAUGCUGGGUCCGGCUGACUGGUACAGGUGCUCAUAACGUCCAGGUCUGCACCCAGGAUGUGAUCCGGGCAACACUCCACAAUGCAACCAGACGGUGAGCAUUGUUUGUAAGAGCUAAGUUUUCUGAAGAACCAGCAGGCCUUAACAUUGCAUCAAGUUGACCAGAAGUGUCAGUAAUAACACAAUUAAAUACAGAAGCACAGGUCAUGUUUUUUUCGAGUUUCUAGAAAUAAUAGUAACCUCAUUCAAUCAACAGAAGGGUGAUUCAUUGGAUACCUGUUUUGCUUGCCAGGUUCUUUUUUUCCUUUGGGAGUGCAGAACAAAUAUUAGAAACUAAUCAUCAGGGUCCUUAAUUUACACACAAACUACAACGACAUUAUUUAUAAAAAAGAAAAGUUAUUGCUCCACUCAGGGUGGGAAUGUGAAGCUUUUUAAAGCCAGUGACCCUUUGCAGUUCAAGAGCAAAAUCACCCCUCGGAGACUGUCUGCUAGGUGGCCCAUCAGCCCUGUGCUGCGAGAGAAGCUCCUCAGCAAAGGAGACUGAGGCACAUUGUGAAAUAAAGUGAAAAUCUCUAUGAAUCAAAGCACUUCCUAUUUCCAUUGCAAGACAGAUGAACUUUUGAUAACUAAUAGCCCAUUUGAGCUCAAGCCCCUUGACAGCCACAGAGUGUGGGUGUCUUUCCAGAGACUUUGCCCCAGAGCCACUAUAGAGCUGUGACUGUCUGCUCCUGAGAGGGCCAGGAUAUAGUUUAAGGCCAUGAAACAGUUAAGCACAUAUAGGCAUUUGCAUGUGCUAACAUACAUAUAUCAAUAAAUAAUAAAUAUAAACAAUAAAUAUAAAUGAUGCUUACAUAGAUAUAUAAGGAUACAUGCACACACAAUUACAUAUUCAAUAUAUUCAAACAGUUCCAAGUUUUUAUACCAGAAAUUGUGUAACUAGAGCUGCGUAACAGUAUUCAAAAUUAUUCUCUUUCUGUGAUUCUUCAGCUUUUCUAGCAUUUUUAUUAAACAGCUUUUAAAGAGUCCUCUUUGAACUCCUGUCAAAUGUUUUGCAUUUGUCUAAGAUGGUUUGUUUCAGUAAAUUGACACAUCUGUGCGUAGUUUCAGUAAAUUUGACUAUAAUGUUGUAGAAGCUUCUGUGAAAAAAUAAAACUGUUGGUAACUUUUCACUUGGAGAAAAGAGUAAGAGAGAUUUUCUCCUGGAAAAGACUUCUCAGAUACACAUUUUUCACUAGCUUUAAUAAAAGGUCAAAGAAAUGAAAACA